UAGGGAAUUUUCCACAAUGGACGAAAGUCUGAUGGAGCAACGCCGCGUGCAGGAUGAAGGCCUUAGGGUUGUAAACUGCUUUUAUUUGUGACGAAUAUGACGGUAGCAAAUGAAUAAGGAUCGGCUAACUCCGUGCCAGCAGCCGCGGUCAUACGGAGGAUCCAAGCGUUAUCCGGAAUUACUGGGCGUAAAGAGUUGCGUAGGUGGCAUUGUAAGCGAGUAGUGAAAGCGUUCGGCUCAACCGAAUACACAUUGCCCGAACUGCAAAGCUAGAGGACGAGAGAGGUUAUUGGAAUUCCUAGUGUAGGAGUGAAAUCCGUAGAUAUUAGGAGGAACACCGAUGGCGUAGGCAGAUAACUGGCUCGUUCCUGACACUGAGGCACGAAAGCGUGGGUAGCAAACGGGAUUAGAUACCCCCGUAGUCC
This 425-nucleotide ribosomal RNA is filed under the name uncultured bacterium. RNAcentral's name for it is "bacterial SSU rRNA". It matches the Rfam family "Bacterial small subunit ribosomal RNA", at positions 355 to 796 of the family's 1533-position model. The record is from RNAcentral.